AUGCUCCCCGGAGUAAAUUGCGAGUACAAAUGUGGGCGGCAAGUCACUUCCUGGUUGCAUCUCUCUUUGAGCCGUUCCUGCCAAGACACCUCCCCUGUGUCUCCUCAGUUUCCAGGAGAGAACAAAGAGUUUUGGGAAUUGCCGGAGAAGCACACAGAGGAUGUAACUGUGCCAAGGAGAUGUUCCGGCAUAACUGGGCUCAGCAUGGAAAAAGGAAAACACUUCCACUUAAUGCCUUCAUCCCAAGGAACAAUGCAGGCCCCUGCUGCGAUGCCAUGAAGCCGUUUGCAUUUCAAUGAACCCCAGACAUCGGCAUGCAAUUAAAUCCAAGCGUUCGGAUUGGUCCAUAGGCUGGAAACAACCCAUAGCGGCUUUCCCCAGAAUUCAUCAUUCAUUACCUGGGAACACAAAAGCCAUCCCGACACGCCUGGAGCUGAGUUCAUAGAUCUCAACUGCAGUACCUUUCAUUUGCUGAUGAACUGGUUGUGCACAAGGGGCUUUAAAGGGAGGAAAAGAGUGUGCUGUUUUCUCCCCCAUGACUGCCAUGUUAUUCAUAAAAUCUCAGAGUUGGAAGGGCCCCCCGAAGGCUAUCUAGUCCAACCCAUUGCUCAAUGCAGGGUCUCCAGCUAAAGCAUCAGGGAGCUGUCCAGACUCUUUUGGGAGAUGUCCAGAGAAGCCCAUCUAGGCAGUUGAGUCCAUUGCACAGACAUGCUUAUUAUCAAGAAGUGCCUUCUAAUGUUCAAUCAAAAUCUGCCCCUCCUGUAACUGAAAACCAUUAGACUGAUCGUACACUUUAAAUUGCAAAGAAGAAACCUGUUCUCUUGUCUUUGUGGCAACCCUUGGGUUAUUCUAAAAAGGCAGUCCUAUAACUACUCAGCCUCUUCAAGCUUUCUAUAUACAUACUAGCCAUGCCCAGCCACGCGUUGCUGUGGCUUAUGGGAAUGCUUUGUUGGCCAGGUGGGAUAGCAGUGAAUAGCCUUGCAGCCUCAAACCCUGGUCAUUUUCUUCUUAUGGGAAUUGUUGUUUGGUAAGCUGGAAUACAAAGGAAUAGGCUUGGUGCUUGGAAGGCUGGGUACUUGCGUUCUAGGCAAAUGGUUUUUUGGGCUGCUAGAAUCGCAAUGAAUAGCCUCGCUGCUUGCUACCUAGGGGAAUCUUUGAUUGGUCAGCUUCAAUAGUACAGAGUAGCAUCACUCCUUCAAAGCCUGGAUGCCUUUUACCAAUGUUAAUCCUUUGUUGAUCUGGUUGAAUUGCACUGAAUAGCCUUGCAACUUCAAUGCCUGGCUGUGUUAUACCUAGGGGAAUCCUUGUUUGGCGAGCUGGAGUAGCACCCUCAAUCAAAGAGCUGCUUUGUAGGAAGAGUUCUUGCGCAUAGUGGUUUUUUUUUAUUUUGGGGUAUUUUUCUGGCCUUGUCUCUGUUUUUCUUUCUUUCUUUCUUUCUUUCUUUCUUUCUUUCAGUCAGUCCUUGGAAAGUGAUUAGUUUUGUGGCCAAAUUUUUGUGUGAUUUUUCCCAGUGGUUUUG
Molecule: long non-coding RNA, 1519 nt
Filed under: Anolis carolinensis (green anole)
Lineage: Eukaryota; Metazoa; Chordata; Lepidosauria; Squamata; Anolidae
Description: lncRNA (ENSACAG00000040761.1)
Source: RNAcentral